AAAAAGUUUUAUUCUAGCUUGAGAAUUAAGUAUAAUUUUUAUUUAUAUAUGAAUUUUAGUGUGAAAGUUUAAUAAUUUUAAAUAGAUUUUUAACGAAGUUAUUAGUAGUAAAUAGUUUUAAUAAUUAAGGAAACUUAGAAUUAGAAAUAAUUAAGUAAUAUUAACAAAAUUUGUGCCAGCAGUUGCGGUUACUCAAAUAAUAUAAUUUAAUUUAGUUAGUUUCAAUAAAUUUUAAUAUUAAGAAUUUUAAUUCAGGAUUUAUUAGGUGAAAUUUUAAAUUUUAUAAAAAAUUUAUUAAAGUUAAUGAUUUUGGAAAAUUUUAUUUUUAAACUAGGAUUAGAUACCCUAUUAUUUUAAACGUAAAAGUGUGACUAGAUUAGUAUUAGUUAUGUUCUUGAAAAUUAAAGAAUUUGGCGGUAUUUUAGUCUAUUCAGAGGAAUCUGUUCUGUAAUUGAUGUCCCACGAUUAAAUUUACUUAUUUUAAUUAAUUUGUAUAUCGUCGUAGUUUGAAUAUUUUUUUAGAAUUUUAAUAUUCAAGAUUUAAUGUUUUAAAAGAAAUCAGAUCAAGGUGCAGUUUAUAAAUAAGGAGAAAUGGAUUACAAUAAAAGUAUUUAGAUGAAUAAUUUUUUUAAAAAAUUUUUGAAAUUGGAUUUGAGAGUAAUUUUUUUUAUAUAAUAAGAAUGAUUUAAGCUCUAAAAUAUGUACAUAUCGCCCGUCGCUUUCAUUAUAAAGUGAAAUAAGUCGUAACAUAGUAGGCCUACUGGAAUGUGGGCCUAGAAAGA
Molecule: non-coding RNA, 782 nt
Filed under: Thesaurus albertalleni
Lineage: Eukaryota; Metazoa; Arthropoda; Insecta; Coleoptera; Cucujidae
Source: RNAcentral